GGAUGAUGUCAAGUCAUCAUGCGCCGUACGACCAGGGCUACACACGCGCUCCAAUGGUGCGUUCAGAGGGCGGCAAGCUAGCGAUAGUGAGAGAAUCCCAAAAAGCCCGUCGUAGUCCGGAUUCGAGUCUGCAACUCGGCUCCAUGAAGUCGGAAUCGCUAGUAAUUGCAAAUCAGAAUGUUGCGGUGAAUACGUUCCCGGGCCUUGUACACACCGCCCGUCACACCAUGGGAGUGGGUUGCACCAGAAGUAGAUAGCUUAACCUUCGGGAGGGCGUUUACCACGGUGUGAUUCAUGACUGGGG
RNAcentral lists this ribosomal RNA (304 nucleotides) under Aeromonas sp. RNAcentral describes it as "bacterial SSU rRNA". It matches the Rfam family "Bacterial small subunit ribosomal RNA", at positions 1177 to 1480 of the family's 1533-position model. Lineage: Bacteria; Pseudomonadati; Pseudomonadota; Gammaproteobacteria; Aeromonadales; Aeromonadaceae. The record is from RNAcentral.